UCGUUUUUGUCAGAAACUCCAGCUAAUUAAUAAUGAUAAUAAUAUUGAUGGGUAUGGCAUCAGCAUCGGUCGGCGGCGGACAGAAGCGUUGUGAGCUUCAAUGGAAGUUUGUGACUGCAGGUCUAGGCCUGUUAAGAUACGUGGAUUUUACUGAGCGUCAACUCAGAUGAAGCUGUGAGCUCAACUAACAGAUUGAGAGCUUUUAUUUUGAAAGCUUUUUAUGUCAUACUGAAGAGCUUAAAAACUGCUGCGAUCGAAGUGGUCAAACUAAUUUCUGAAGCACUUGUUUACGUACUGAACAGGGAGGAAGCUCUCGGUAUCUUUGAAGCAUUUCAAAAGCUACUUUUUUUCCUCAUCGCUCUUCUGUUUGCCAUAAUUGGUUUUCACUUUCGCUCCUCGGACAUCUCUCCACUUGAAACGCAUCAUGCUAUUUUCUUGCUUUUCCUUGUGGCUAUAUUCGUCUACGGCCUUGCAUAUGUGUUGAUAUCGGUACUGCCUAAACACUCUGAGUACCUUUCCAUACUCAGGUUCAUCUAUCUAGUUUUUGGAACCAUUGCUAUUGAGCUACCUGCCUCAAUACUCAUUUCCCCCCUUCGGCUAUUCAUGGUCAAUUUAUGUUCAAUCCUUAUCAUAGGGGUACUGUGUUCGUACAAACAAAUUUAUCAAUUUGUUUGUCAGAUAUAUGGCUAGCUCCUACAGAGAUUCCAAUCAGCAGCUUUUCAAGCAUUUCUUUCAAGGGAACGAGGAGACAAUAACAAUCAGGUUGCAGAAAUUGUUCAAGUGGUCUUUUUU
Quercus robur (English oak) is the source of this 792-nucleotide long non-coding RNA. RefSeq lists it as uncharacterized. The transcript has 4 exons. The record is from RefSeq and is a predicted model, not a curated record. NCBI's taxonomy places the organism in Eukaryota, Viridiplantae, Streptophyta, Magnoliopsida, Fagales, Fagaceae.